Molecule: ribosomal RNA, 406 nt
Filed under: uncultured bacterium
Lineage: Bacteria
Description: partial 16S ribosomal RNA
Rfam family: Bacterial small subunit ribosomal RNA
Source: RNAcentral
AGUGAACGCUGGCGGUAGGCCUAACACAUGCAAGUCGAACGAGUGGCGGACGGGUGAGAAAUGCUUGGGAAUCUAGCCUAUGGUGGGGGAUAACGUCGGGAAACUGUCGCUAAUACCGCAUACGAUAGGAUGAGCCGAGGUCGGAUUAGCUAGUUGGCGCGGUAAAGGCCCACCAAGGCGACGAUCCGUAGCUGGUCUGAGAGGAUGAUCAGCGACACUGGAACUGAGACACGGUCCAGACUCCUACGGGAGGCAGCAGUGGGGAAUAGUGGACAAUGGGGGCAAGCCUGACGCAGCCAUGCCGCGUGAAUGAAGAAGGCCUUCGGGUUGUAAAGUUCUUUUGGUAGGAAGGCGUUACCCAAAGAAUAAGCACCGGCUAACUCCGUGCCAGCCGCCGCGGUAAUAC